GCGAGUGCGGUGCCCUGCGCGGCGGAAGGGCCCCGGCCGCGGGAUCUGCGCACUGGGACGUCGUUGCGAGGCUGGAGGCAGAGCUCUCGCCAGCGCGGAAGGCCACCGCUCCGCGAGCAGGCGGGAGGGACGAAGCCCCGGGCCUGCGCCGGGGGCUUUCAAGAGGGAAGCCAGGUCCGACCGGGGGGUGGCGCAGGCUUCCCGAACCCCGGGCCCGCGCCCCGGCUCCGCGCGGGCACUUGGCGCCCCCUCGGAUUGAGAAACGGAAAUACCACCACCGUUCAGCCAAUCUGCUGGGAGGACUGCUUGCAGGGGACUCGUGCUCCAGAUGUUGCACUAGAGGCGCUGCAAGUGUGAGCAGCAGGUAG
This 368-nucleotide long non-coding RNA is filed under the name Saimiri boliviensis boliviensis (Bolivian squirrel monkey). RNAcentral describes it as "lncRNA (ENSSBOG00000036499.1)". Lineage: Eukaryota; Metazoa; Chordata; Mammalia; Primates; Cebidae. The record is from RNAcentral.